Neofelis nebulosa (Clouded leopard) is the source of this 2467-nucleotide long non-coding RNA. RefSeq lists it as uncharacterized. NCBI's taxonomy places the organism in Eukaryota, Metazoa, Chordata, Mammalia, Carnivora, Felidae. The transcript has 3 exons. The record is from RefSeq and is a predicted model, not a curated record.
UAGACCCUUGCUACUCAAGCUGUGGUCCAGGGACCAGUACUAUCAGCUCACUUGGGUUCAUGUUACAGAUGCCGAGUCUCUGUCCCCAAACAACACGUGUGAAGAAUCUGCAUUUUGACAAGAACUUCAGGUUGUUCCAAUACUCACCAAAGUUUGGGAAACAGAUUAGAGAUUUGAUAUUUGUUCCGUACCUACUACAUAUCUGCACCAGCCUGCCAAGGUCAAUGCUAUUACAACUGAACAAACAUGGAAAAGGGUUUGUGACUUCUCCCGGGUCUUAUAUGCAGUUAGUGGCAGCAUCCAGAUAUGGGCCCUAGGCGUGGCCCUGACCUGGAUUCUAGAAGCUGAGGUCUGAGAUUAUCCUGUUAUUUUCAGGUUGGUGUCCUUGGACUUCAGGAAGAUGGUAAUGGCUACUGGGAGCCAUUUUUAGCAUUCCUCAAAGCCCAACUGUUAUCUCCUACUUCAUCCUAGUCAGAUCGUAGGGACAUGAGCUCAGGCACAAAUGCCUUUGCUUUUGGCAAGAAUUAUAAUGGGCCAUCCUGGAAACUGGUUAUUUCCUGGGGAGAAGGAGUUUGGAUUGGCAAUCAUACAUGUCCUUGAUUAAUGAAAAAUGGAGACAUAAAUUAAUUACCUUUCAAAAAUUUGACGUGUAUAGGAGACAAUGGCUUUCAAAUUGCAAAGUUCAUAGUGGGGAGGAGAUUAUAAAAGGAGUCCCUAGGGGUUUAGUAACAACUUUUCAUUUGUGUUGAAGAAGAAAGCCCGUGGACCAACGUCACUAACCAUCAGGGAAAUGCAAAUCAAAACCACAAUGAGCUGUCACUUCACACCCGUUGGAAUGGAUAUUAUCAGAAAGACAAGAGAUAACAAGCACUGGAGAGGCUGUGGAGGAAAGGGAACCCUCACGCACCCAUUGGUGGGAAUGUAAAUUGGUGCGGCUACUGUGGAAAAUAACUGAUCUGCCCAAGAAGGAGACCUACCCAGAAGGGUUCACAGAGGCUCUUCUCCUACUUGACAAAAAAUAGACCCCUCUCAUCCCAAACCUUAACAGGAUGUUUUGCCCUUGGAUUUCAAGCCACCUGCGGUGUCAAACAAAGGGAUAAAUUGAAAUGCUAGUUUGGAAUGGCCUUUCAUCUUUGGCUGAGCGCCACCACAGACGGGGAACUCACUCCCUCACUGUGCAGACCUGCCUGCUGCCGGCCACCCCUCAGUUCUUUGACCCCACUUGGAGCUAGGAACGUGUGCCCUUCAAGGAAUGCUCACUAUCUGCCAGACUAUGCCAGGCAUUUCCUGUGCAGGUCUUCUUUCGUCCUCAUAAUAACUCUCUAAGGUAGGUACUCUUAUUAUCCCCACUUUGAAGAAUGAGCAAAACAAGUCACAGAGGGUUCAGGAAGCUGUUCAGGGUCUCACAGGCAGUAAGUGAUGAAGCUGGUGUUUUCCAAAAGGCUCAUUCCAGAGCUUGUAAGCCCGUGGCUUUCAGUGUUGGAGAAGAAGAGCUCAUGUUGGUUGAAUAUUUACUAGAAACCGGGCUAUGUUCUGAGGUGUCCCCUAUAUGCUGUCGCGUUUCAUCGUAACAAGCUGUGAGGCAGUUCUUAGUGUGCCCGUGUUAGAAACGAGGACCGGAGUGUCCGGAGACCGUGAUUCAGCCAAGGUCACCAGCAGAGCCACGCUUGUGAAAAGCUGCCAUUCUGGAAACUGAGACUCUGGAAAUUUAGGAGUUUGUCUGAGGUUUGAGCUAGAAGUCUGAGCAGAACUCAGAAGGUGGCCCGACUCGACCACGAGCUCUUCCUUGGCUUCCUGCUCACCUCCAACCCUGCGCCUUCCCUCUCCUGUCACCUGGGUCCUGGAAGACAAGACAGGGCCCUCUGAGGAGAGGCUAACCCACCUCCCUGUCUCCCCCAAUAGCUUUAACAUGCUUUCCAUGUAGCUGGUUAAGUGUGGGUCUAACUGCCCAAGUGUGAGGACCACCUAACUAGAGACAGCUCAUGGUCUCUUCCAAGUUUGGAGUUCUAAGAAUCCCUCCAUCUCUCCUUGGUCAUCUUCAGAAGAGGGUCAUGUAAAGCAAUGUAAAUUUGGAAGUCAGAAAGACGUGGGUUCCAAUCUCCUCUGUGUGACUAAAAGCAGAUUGAGCAACCUCCCAGAGGUGCGGUUUCCUUGUCUACAGGAUGGAGAUAAAAAUGACUGCCUUGCAUGGUAGUCAGUCUGCCUGUUUUGGAAGAGGGGCUGCCUCCUAGAAGUACUUUCUUCUUCUUUUUUUUUAAUGUUUAUUUAUUUUUGAGAGAGAGAGAGAGAGAGACAGAGUGCGAGCAGGGCAGGGGCAGAGAGAGGGGAAGACACAGAAUCCAAAGUGGGCUCCAGGCUCCGAGCUGUCAGCACAGAGCCCAAUGUGGGGCUCGAACUCACGAGCUGUGAGAUCUUGACCUGAGCCGAAGUCGGAUGCUCAACCGACUGAGCCACCCAGGUGCCCCCC